This 212-nucleotide ribosomal RNA is filed under the name uncultured bacterium. Its description in RNAcentral is "partial 16S ribosomal RNA". It matches the Rfam family "Bacterial small subunit ribosomal RNA", at positions 1288 to 1500 of the family's 1533-position model. The record is from RNAcentral.
UCAGUUCNGAUUGCAGGCUGCAACCCGCCUGCAUGAAGUCGGAAUUGCUAGUAAUCGCGGAUCAGCAUGCCGCGGUGAAUACGUUCCCGGGCCUUGUACACACCGCCCGUCACACCAUGGGAGCCGGUAAUACCCGAAGUCAGUAGUCCAACCUCGUGAGGACGCUGCCGAAGGUAGGAUUGGCGACUGGGGUGAAGUCGUAACAAGGUAAC